GGGUUGUGAGGUUAAGCGACUAAGCGUACACGGUGGAUGCCCUGGCAGUCAGAGGCGAUGAAGGGCGUGCUAAUCUGCGAUAAGCGCCGGUAAGGUGAUAUGAACCGUUAUAACCGGCGAUACCCGAAUGGGGAAACCCAGUGUGACUCGUCACACUAUCAUUAACUGAAUCCAUAGGUUAAUGAGGCGAACCGGGGGAACUGAAACAUCUAAGUACCCCGAGGAAAAGAAAUCAACCGAGAUUCCCCCAGUAGCGGCGAGCGAACGGGGAGGAGCCCAGAGCCUGAAUCAGCAUGUGUGUUAGUGGAAGCGUCUGGAAAGGCGCGCGAUACAGGGUGACAGCCCCGUACACAAAAGCGCAUGUGCUGUGAGCUCGAUGAGUAGGGCGGGACACGUGGUAUCCUGUCUGAAUAUGGGGGGACCAUCCUCCAAGGCUAAAUACUCCUGACUGACCGAUAGUGAACCAGUACCGUGAGGGAAAGGCGAAAAGAACCCCGGCGAGGGGAGUGAAAAAGAACCUGAAACCGUGUACGUACAAGCAGUGGGAGCCCCACCACUAAGCCAGUGGUGAACUCCACAUACGCAUCCUUUGCUGAGGAUACGGUUAACGGAGCGAAAGCGACGUUCAACCUCAAAAGAAGCAGAGGGGGCUUAGUGGUGGGGUGACUGCGUACCUUUUGUAUAAUGGGUCAGCGACUUAUAUUCUGUAGCAAGGUUAACCGAAUAGGGGAGCCGGAGGGAAACCGAGUCUUAAUUGGGCGUUAAGUUGCAGGGUAUAGACCCGAAACCCGGUGAUCUAGCCAUGGGCAGGUUGAAGGUUGGGUAACACUAACUGGAGGACCGAACCGACUAAUGUUGAAAAAUUAGCGGAUGACCUGUGGCUGGGGGUGAAAGGCCAAUCAAACCGGGAGAUAGCUGGUUCUCCCCGAAAGCUAUUUAGGUAGCGCCUCGUGAAUUCAUCUCCGGGGGUAGAGCACUGUUUCGGCUAGGGGGCCAUCCCGGCUUACCAACCCGAUGCAAACUGCGAAUACCGGAGAAUGUUAUCACGGGAGACACACGGCGGGUGCUAACGUCCGUCGUGAAGAGGGAAACAACCCAGACCGCCAGCUAAGGUCCCAAAGUCAUGGUUAAGUGGGAAACGAUGUGGGAAGGCCCAGACAGCCAGGAUGUUGGCUUAGAAGCAGCCAUCAUUUAAAGAAAGCGUAAUAGCUCACUGGUCGAGUCGGCCUGCGCGGAAGAUGUAACGGGGCUAAACCAUGCACCGAAGCUGCGGCAGCGAACGUAUCACUUAAAGCGAUUCAGCGGGUUACGAUUGACGGAGCGAAGCGACGUCAAAGCGUAUACAAAGUCGAGUCGGUUUAAGGAUACGUUCGUUGGGUAGGGGAGCGUUCUGUAAGCCUGUGAAGGUGGCCUGUGAGGGUUGCUGGAGGUAUCAGAAGUGCGAAUGCUGACAUAAGUAACGAUAAAGCGGGUGAAAAGCCCGCUCGCCGGAAGACCAAGGGUUCCUGUCCAACGUUAAUCGGGGCAGGGUGAGUCGACCCCUAAGGCGAGGCCGAAAGGCGUAGUCGAUGGGAAACGGGUUAAUAUUCCCGUACUUGGUGUUACUGCGAAGGGGGGACGGAGAAGGCUAUGUUGGCCGGGCGACGGUUGUCCCGGUUUAAGCGUGUAGGCUGGUUUUCCAGGCAAAUCCGGAAAAUCAAGGCUGAGGCGUGAUGACGAGGCACUACGGUGCUGAAGCAACAAAUGCCCUGCUUCCAGGAAAAGCCUCUAAGCAUCAGGUAACAUCAAAUCGUACCCCAAACCGACACAGGUGGUCAGGUAGAGAAUACCAAGGCGCUUGAGAGAACUCGGGUGAAGGAACUAGGCAAAAUGGUGCCGUAACUUCGGGAGAAGGCACGCUGACACGUAGGUGAAGUGAUUUACUCAUGGAGCUGAAGUCAGUCGAAGAUACCAGCUGGCUGCAACUGUUUAUUAAAAACACAGCACUGUGCAAACACGAAAGUGGACGUAUACGGUGUGACGCCUGCCCGGUGCCGGAAGGUUAAUUGAUGGGGUCAGCGCAAGCGAAGCUCCUGAUCGAAGCCCCGGUAAACGGCGGCCGUAACUAUAACGGUCCUAAGGUAGCGAAAUUCCUUGUCGGGUAAGUUCCGACCUGCACGAAUGGCGUAAUGAUGGCCAGGCUGUCUCCACCCGAGACUCAGUGAAAUUGAACUCGCUGUGAAGAUGCAGUGUACCCGCGGCAAGACGGAAAGACCCCGUGAACCUUUACUAUAGCUUGACACUGAACAUUGAGCCUUGAUGUGUAGGAUAGGUGGGAGGCUUUGAAGUGUGGACGCCAGUCUGCAUGGAGCCGACCUUGAAAUACCACCCUUUAAUGUUUGAUGUUCUAACGUGGACCCGUUACCCGGGUUGCGGACAGUGUCUGGUGGGUAGUUUGACUGGGGCGGUCUCCUCCUAAAGAGUAACGGAGGAGCACGAAGGUUGGCUAAUCCUGGUCGGACAUCAGGAGGUUAGUGCAAUGGCAUAAGCCAGCUUGACUGCGAGCGUGACGGCGCGAGCAGGUGCGAAAGCAGGUCAUAGUGAUCCGGUGGUUCUGAAUGGAAGGGCCAUCGCUCAACGGAUAAAAGGUACUCCGGGGAUAACAGGCUGAUACCGCCCAAGAGUUCAUAUCGACGGCGGUGUUUGGCACCUCGAUGUCGGCUCAUCACAUCCUGGGGCUGAAGUAGGUCCCAAGGGUAUGGCUGUUCGCCAUUUAAAGUGGUACGCGAGCUGGGUUUAGAACGUCGUGAGACAGUUCGGUCCCUAUCUGCCGUGGGCGCUGGAGAACUGAGGGGGGCUGCUCCUAGUACGAGAGGACCGGAGUGGACGCAUCACUGGUGUUCGGGUUGUCAUGCCAAUGGCACUGCCCGGUAGCUAAAUGCGGAAGAGAUAAGUGCUGAAAGCAUCUAAGCACGAAACUUGCCCCGA
Molecule: ribosomal RNA, 2967 nt
Filed under: Salmonella enterica subsp. enterica serovar Bovismorbificans
Lineage: Bacteria; Pseudomonadati; Pseudomonadota; Gammaproteobacteria; Enterobacterales; Enterobacteriaceae
Description: partial 23S ribosomal RNA
Rfam family: Bacterial large subunit ribosomal RNA
Source: RNAcentral